Molecule: ribosomal RNA, 387 nt
Filed under: uncultured bacterium
Lineage: Bacteria
Description: bacterial SSU rRNA
Rfam family: Bacterial small subunit ribosomal RNA
Source: RNAcentral
AUUGAACGCUGGCGGCAUGCCUUACACAUGCAAGUCGAACGGCAGCACGGGAGCAAUCCUGGUGGCGAGUGGCGAACGGGUGAGUAAUAUAUCGGAACGUGCCCGGUCGUGGGGAUAACGUAGCGAAAGCUACGCUAAUACCGCAUACGAUCUACGGAUGAAAGCGGGGGGAUCGCAAGACCUCGCGCGAUUGGAGCGGCCGAUAUCAGAUUAGGUAGUUGGUGAGGUAAAGGCUCACCAAGCCGACGAUCUGUAGCUGGUCUGAGAGGACGACCAGCCACACUGGGACUGAGACACAGCCCAGACUCCUACGGGAGGCAGCAGUGGGGAAUUUUGGACAAUGGGCGCAAGCCCUGAUCCAGCAAUGCCGCGUGCAGGAUGAAGGCC